This 453-nucleotide ribosomal RNA is filed under the name uncultured bacterium. RNAcentral's name for it is "bacterial SSU rRNA". It matches the Rfam family "Bacterial small subunit ribosomal RNA", at positions 340 to 786 of the family's 1533-position model. The record is from RNAcentral.
UACGGAAGGCAGCAGUGGGGAAUAUUGCACAAUGGGCGCAAGCCUGAUGCAGCCAUGCCGCGUGUAUGAAGAAGGCCUUCGGGUUGUAAAGUACUUUCAGUCGUGAGGAAGGUGUUAAGGUUAAUAACCUUAGCAAUUGACGUUAGCGACAGAAGAAGCACCGGCUAACUCCGUGCCAGCAGCCGCGGUAAUACGGAGGGUGCGAGCGUUAAUCGGAAUUACUGGGCGUAAAGGGCACGCAGGCGGUUAAUUAAGUUGGAUGUGAAAUCCCCGGGCUUAACCUGGGAAUGGCAUUCAAGACUGGUUAGCUAGAGUCUUGUAGAGGGGGUAGAAUUCCAUGUGUAGCGGUGAAAUGCGUAGAGAUGUGGAGGAAUACCGGUGGCGAAGGCGGCCCCUGGACAAAGAACUGACGCUCAUGUGCGAAAGCGUGGGGAGCAAACAGGAUUAGAUACC